CGCGGCUCUCGGCGGUCACGUGGGCGCCGCGCGCUCGGCCAGGCCCCGUUUCGUCCCGCCGGUGGAAGAGAGGGUGGGACCCUGGUUCAGCACUUUGGGCUCAGAAGGCUUCUAGAAGAGGACAUCUACUCAAAAACUCAUUCUCACCUAGAAGACAACCUGGGAAAUAUUUGUUCCUUUUCAGGUAUGGUGUGAGGAAGUUCCAAAUCCCAGACUCCCCUCCAAUGUCUCCUGACCCAGAAGAGGGAUACUCAGGACAGUUAACCUGGACUAGACUCCCACAGGGAUUUAAAAACUCACCCCCAUUGUUUGACAAGGCCCUCAGCCGGGACCUCCAGUUCUAGCAGGAAAACCACCCUUCUGUUACCUUACUCCAGCAUGUGGAUGACCUACUCUUAGCUGCUGCUUCCAAGGAGGAAUCCAUAAAGGGCACCGAAGAUCUCUUGCAGGAGUUGGAAUGCCUUGGAUACCGUGUCUCUGCCAAAAAGGCCCAGAUCUGCACCCAGAUGGCCACAUACCUGGGGUAUGAACUAAGAGAAGGUAAGAGGUUCCUGUUGGCCAGUUGCAUCGAGGCCACCUGAAGG
This 584-nucleotide long non-coding RNA is filed under the name Suricata suricatta (meerkat). Its description in RNAcentral is "lncRNA (ENSSSUG00005004954.1)". The record is from RNAcentral. Lineage: Eukaryota; Metazoa; Chordata; Mammalia; Carnivora; Herpestidae.